This 497-nucleotide ribosomal RNA is filed under the name uncultured bacterium. RNAcentral's name for it is "partial 16S ribosomal RNA". It matches the Rfam family "Bacterial small subunit ribosomal RNA", at positions 28 to 507 of the family's 1533-position model. The record is from RNAcentral.
GAUGAACGCUGGCGGCGUGCCUAAUACAUGCAAGUCGAGCGAACAGAUAAGGAGCUUGCUCCUUUGACGUUAGCGGCGGACGGGUGAGUUACACGUGGAUAACCUACCUAUAAGACUGGGAUAACUUCGGGAAACCGGAGCUAAUACCGGAUAACAUAUUGAACCGCAUGGUUCAAUAGUGAAAGGCGGCUUUGCUGUCACUUAUAGAUGGAUCCGCGCCGUAUUAGCUAGUUGGUAAGGUAACGGCUUACCAAGGCAACGAUACGUAGCCGACCUGAGAGGGUGAUCGGCCACACUGGAACUGAGACACGGUCCAGACUCCUACGGGAGGCAGCAGUAGGGAAUCUUCCGCAAUGGGCGAAAGCCUGACGGAGCAACGCCGCGUGAGUGAUGAAGGUCUUCGGAUCGUAAAACUCUGUUAUCAGGGAAGAACAAAUGUGUAAGUACCUGUGCACAUCUUGACGGUACCUGAUCAGAAAGCCACGGCUAACUACGUG